This is a long non-coding RNA of Syzygium oleosum, 3124 nucleotides long. RefSeq lists it as uncharacterized. The record is from RefSeq and is a predicted model, not a curated record. Lineage: Eukaryota; Viridiplantae; Streptophyta; Magnoliopsida; Myrtales; Myrtaceae. The transcript has 3 exons.
UCUCAGUCCCCUGGUAAAUGAAAUUUCAUAGGAGUUCUUCAUCUUGCUUGAUUAGAAAUUAAAGAUGAUAGGGAUGCUCGAUGAUUAUUGAAUUUUGAUUUGCUUGGGCACACAGAUUCAGGCUGUGCAUUUUAAUUGAAAAAGUGCACUGGAAGUUCUGAAUGUUGUGUAAAGUGCACAAGACCUUCUGCUGGAUAUUGCUUAUGUGGCAACUUGAGAGGGUGCCAUGUAGGAGAAAUCAGAGAUGUUUUGAUUUGAAGGAUUUGAUUGAAAUUUUUCAAAAAGGUUUAGACUUGAUUGCAUCAAUUGAAAUAUAAAGGAUUUGAGUGCAUUUCACAUAUGAGGCUUAGGACUCUUGGUGCAAUUUUUUCCAAUUUUCAACAUAGCCAAACCUCUCUCUAGAAAUAAAAUAUAAAAGCUUUAGCUAUAACUAUAGAUUGAUGUAGCAUGCUUCAGUUGUGAUGGCACCAGAUGAAGAUGGAACUGUAAAUUGUUUAGAAUCAAAGGCUUGGAAGUAAUAGAAAAUUCUAAUGACAGAUUAGUUGAGUUAGAUGAGAGUUUAUCUCCUGUAAUUGCUAUCUUUGGCUGAUUUAAAGGUGUUGGAUGCUCUAAGAAGUCAUUACAGGAAAAAUAAAGUUUUCUGCAUUAUUCCAUGUGAUUUAUAGCUAGUUUAGUUAAGUUAGAUGUGAUUUAUAACUAGAAUUUCUUUAGUUAAGUUAGAUGAGAGUUUAGGAUCUGAAUGCAUUCCAUAGACGAAGCUUAUGACUUUUGGUGCAAUUUUCCCGAUGUUUGACACAGCUUACCUCUCUCUAGAAAUAAAGGAAUUCUAAUAAGCUUUUGCUAUAACUAUGAUGCAUGCUUCAAUUGUGAUCGCACCAGAUGAAGUUGGAACUGAAAAUUGCUUAGAAUCAGAAGCUAGAAAGUAAUAGGAAAUGCUAAUGACAGAUUAGUUAAGGUAGAUGAGAGUUUAUCUUCUGAUGGUUUGAAGGUGUUUGAUGCUCUAGGAAGUCAUCACAGAAAAAAUUCUGCAUCAGUACUGAUAGAUUUGAGGCUUCCAUGUGAUUUAAAGCUAGAUUAGUUAAGUAAGAUGAGAGUUUAUCUCAUGUAAUUGCUAUCUUCUGCUGGUUUGGAGGUGUUUGAUACUAUAGGAAGUCAUUACAAAAAGAAAUUUUCUGCAUCAGGCUUCAAUGUGAUUUAUAACUGUACUUUGACAUGUCAGGCAUUAGAGGUGAUCAUCCUGUUCCUGAAUGUGACUAGUAGGGAAACAUUUGUAAUAUCACUUAGAUUUAGCGCCAUAACUAUAACAUAAUUUCAAUCUAAUAAAUGGACAGCUAUGGAACUGUACUUUAUAAUGUUUUCCUGGCAUCUCAUCCUCCGAUAUUCUAUUUUGCCAUAUUGAAAGAUAUUAAAGUCAGUUUACGGAAGAACGAUGUUUUUUUUUUAUUCAGAUUGACAGCCGUUGCUAUUGAAAAACUUAGGUACCUCUAAGGUACCUUCUUGUUAAACUGACUGAUCUUCAUAUCAAAUUAAAAUGUCAUAAGCCAAGUAGGACUUGGUGCAACUCACUGUCUAUUACCAGAUCAUCUAUUGCCAUUCUGCCUUGCGUUAGAAUAUUGAAUGCGACGGGGCCUUCACGGGCUUCGUGCAAUUCCAAGAUUCUUUCUUAGCUGGGAUAAAAGAUUCUUUAAAGUAGAUUAAGCUGAAACUUAAGUUGCUGAGUUAGCUGUAAUGAUGUGUCCACUAUAAGGGUUGUAAUUCAUCUGUACUGGAUUUUCAGUUAUCAAAUUUCCAUAUAGUUUCGUACAAUUAGCUCCUUGAAUGAUUUAACAUUUCAUUGAGACAACUUUUUCCUUUAAAGUAUAGCCUGUGGGGCAGCUUGUGGAUGGGAUAAGAUUAUCAGAUGACACAGGAAAUCCAGUGGAGGCUUGUUUCUUAUUUAUUAAGCUAUGACCUUAAGACCAACCAGAAACUUUAAAUCAAAAUAUGUGCAGGACCCAUAUUAUAGAGUUAGUUUUGGACCGGUAGUUGUUAUAUCUUUUCUUUUUUCCCUCUAGAGAAGUUUUGAGUCAUUUUCACUCCUGCAGUUACUUUUAUGUGGAAACUACACCGUCUUAUGGGAGAUGAUUGAGUUUUAUAAUGGAAGAAUAACUUUCAUGGUCGGGACCUCUUUCUGUAAACAGUCUCAUCUACUAAAUGUGUGGCAGUUAGACAGUAUUCAGUGGAUUCACUAAUUAUGUCAUUGAAAUGUCAAGAUUCAUGAUGGAUGGUUUGUGAAGAAAUGCGAUUGCCUUUUUUCCUGUUCUUAAUUGGUAUUACAUAUACUGAACAUUAAUAGUUCUGAAAUUUUACUCAUGGAGGUGAUGCUGCCACGCAAUCAUAGUAACUGCAGCAUUCAGUGCAUGGAGUACUAAUAAUAAUAUGAAACAUGGAUGUUAUAUGGAAAGGCUGAAAGCAUUACAUGACAUCCUUACCCUGAAUGGAUGCUGAAGUGGAUGAUUUGCUCAUGUCAAGGGACAUGAACGGAUUGAGACAUCCAGGAUGCCAAUAGAACAGUGGUACAUGAGAACACGCGGAGAGAAAAAUUCUUGUCAUAGUUCAAUUACCAUUGGGGGACAAAGCAAAGUGGAGAAUCCAUUUUCCCCUUAAAGCUUGAAUGACCUCUAGGUGAAGAACGAAGCAUUCAUGAAUGAGUGACACUAAAGUGUUAUGCUUUUUCUUAGGAUGGAUAAAGUGGAGGGAGAAUUUCAAAAGAAACUCCAAUCAACUAGUACUAUUAUUGCUACUAGGUUUUGCUUGGCUCAUGUGAUUGCUUCAUGGUAUCUACCAUUCCUAACUACAUUUUCCCCCAGAGCACGUGGGAAAUGAAGACAAAAUGCAAAUUAUGAGGAGGUGAUUUGAAUUGCGGAUCGAGUUAAUCAUAACCCAUAUGGCACCAAAACUUUAAUUAUGGAUGGCGAUGGAUCAUGAUGGCAUGGGUGAAUUCUUUUCUGGUCUAGUUUUUAUAAGUAAUAUCGAUGUCAAUAAUCAGUAAACAAAGGAAAUGAGAAUCUCUACUCUUCAAGAAAGAAUAUUGCUGGAAAGUCUAUGUCAUAGUGUUUGUGUGUCUGUAUAUAUAUAUAUAUAU